This 76-nucleotide transfer RNA is filed under the name Bacteroidetes bacterium ADurb.Bin035. Its description in RNAcentral is "tRNA-Gln". It matches the Rfam family "tRNA". From Rfam's summary of the family: Transfer RNA (tRNA) molecules are approximately 80 nucleotides in length. Their secondary structure includes four short double-helical elements and three loops (D, anti-codon, and T loops). Further hydrogen bonds mediate the characteristic L-shaped molecular structure. tRNAs have two regions of fundamental functional importance: the anti-codon, which is responsible for specific mRNA codon recognition, and the 3' end, to which the tRNAs corresponding amino acid is attached (by aminoacyl-tRNA synthetases). tRNAs cope with the degeneracy of the genetic code in two manners: having more than one tRNA (with a specific anti-codon) for a particular amino acid; and 'wobble' base-pairing, i.e. permitting non-standard base-pairing at the 3rd anti-codon position. The record is from RNAcentral. Lineage: Bacteria; Pseudomonadati; Bacteroidota.
UUGCCCUGUGGUGUAAUUGGCUAACACGUCUGACUCUGGAUCAGAAAAGUCCAGGUUCGAGUCCUGGCAGGGCAGU